AAAAAGGCCUGUUGUCGUAAGUUGCACACAAGGGCAGGUUGGUUGCUCUUCAUGCAGAAUUGACAUCAGGAGAUUUUGGAAGCAUAUUUUUUUUUGGUUGUUGGCAGCUGGUGAUUGUGGUAUCGAUGCCCUU
Nycticebus coucang (slow loris) is the source of this 133-nucleotide small nuclear RNA. RefSeq annotates it as U11 spliceosomal RNA. The record is from RefSeq and is a predicted model, not a curated record. Lineage: Eukaryota; Metazoa; Chordata; Mammalia; Primates; Lorisidae. The transcript has a single exon.